This 216-nucleotide ribosomal RNA is filed under the name uncultured bacterium. RNAcentral describes it as "partial 16S ribosomal RNA". It matches the Rfam family "Bacterial small subunit ribosomal RNA", at positions 32 to 228 of the family's 1533-position model. The record is from RNAcentral.
AAUCAACGCUGGCGGCGUGCCUAACACAUGCAAGUCGAACGAGAAAGUGACUUCGGUCACUGGACAGUGGCGUCCGGGUGAGUAACACGUGGGUAAUCUACCUUCGGGUGGGGAAUAACGUCUCGAAAGAGACGCUAAUACCGCAUAAUGCAGCGGCACCUUAUGGUGAAUAGUUGUUAAAGCGGGGGAGUCGCAAGACCUCGCGCCUGAAGAGGA